This 490-nucleotide ribosomal RNA is filed under the name uncultured bacterium. RNAcentral describes it as "partial 16S ribosomal RNA". It matches the Rfam family "Bacterial small subunit ribosomal RNA", at positions 28 to 507 of the family's 1533-position model. The record is from RNAcentral.
GAUGAACGCUGGCUACAGGCUUACACAUGCAAGUCGAGGGGAAACGACGGGGAAGCUUGCUUCCCCGGGCGUCGACCGGCGCACGGGUGAGUAACGCGUAUCCAACCUGCCUCUGACUGAGGGAUAACCCGUCGAAAGUCGGCCUAAUACCUCAUGGUAUCGUCUGCGGGCAUCCAACGACGAUUAAAGAUUUCAUCGGUCAGGGAUGGGGAUGCGUCUGAUUAGCUUGUUGGCGGGGUAACGGCCCACCAAGGCUACGAUCAGUAGGGGUUCUGAGAGGAAGGUCCCCCACAUUGGAACUGAGACACGGUCCAAACUCCUACGGGAGGCAGCAGUGAGGAAUAUUGGUCAAUGGGCGAGAGCCUGAACCAGCCAAGUAGCGUGCAGGAAGACGGCCCUAUGGGUUGUAAACUGCUUUUAUGCGGGGAUAAAGUGAGGGACGUGUCCCUCAUUGCAGGUACCGCAUGAAUAAGGACCGGCUAAUUCCGUG